Molecule: ribosomal RNA, 1677 nt
Filed under: Klebsiella variicola
Lineage: Bacteria; Pseudomonadati; Pseudomonadota; Gammaproteobacteria; Enterobacterales; Enterobacteriaceae
Description: bacterial LSU rRNA
Rfam family: Bacterial large subunit ribosomal RNA
Source: RNAcentral
UGCUGGAGGUAUCAGAAGUGCGAAUGCUGACAUAAGUAACGAUAAAGCGGGUGAAAAGCCCGCUCGCCGGAAGACCAAGGGUUCCUGUCCAACGUUAAUCGGGGCAGGGUGAGUCGACCCCUAAGGCGAGGCCGAAAGGCGUAGUCGAUGGGAAACAGGUUAAUAUUCCUGUACUUGGUGUUACUGCGAAGGGGGGACGGAGAAGGCUAUGUUAGCCGGGCGACGGUUGUCCCGGUUUAAGCAUGUAGGCGGAGGUUCCAGGUAAAUCCGGUACCUUUUAACGCUGAGGUGUGAUGACGAGGCACUACGGUGCUGAAGUAACAAAUGCCCUGCUUCCAGGAAAAGCCUCUAAGCAUCAGGUAACAUCAAAUCGUACCCCAAACCGACACAGGUGGUCAGGUAGAGAAUACCAAGGCGCUUGAGAGAACUCGGGUGAAGGAACUAGGCAAAAUGGUGCCGUAACUUCGGGAGAAGGCACGCUGGUGUGUAGGUGAAGUCCCUGCGGAUGGAGCUGAGACCAGUCGAAGAUACCAGCUGGCUGCAACUGUUUAUUAAAAACACAGCACUGUGCAAACACGAAAGUGGACGUAUACGGUGUGACGCCUGCCCGGUGCCGGAAGGUUAAUUGAUGGGGUUAUCCGUAAGGAGAAGCUCUUGAUCGAAGCCCCGGUAAACGGCGGCCGUAACUAUAACGGUCCUAAGGUAGCGAAAUUCCUUGUCGGGUAAGUUCCGACCUGCACGAAUGGCGUAAUGAUGGCCAGGCUGUCUCCACCCGAGACUCAGUGAAAUUGAACUCGCUGUGAAGAUGCAGUGUACCCGCGGCAAGACGGAAAGACCCCGUGAACCUUUACUAUAGCUUGACACUGAACAUUGAGCCUUGAUGUGUAGGAUAGGUGGGAGGCUUUGAAGCGUGGACGCCAGUCUGCGUGGAGCCAACCUUGAAAUACCACCCUUUAAUGUUUGAUGUUCUAACGUAGGCCCCUAAUCGGGGUUGCGGACAGUGUCUGGUGGGUAGUUUGACUGGGGCGGUCUCCUCCCAAAGAGUAACGGAGGAGCACGAAGGUUAGCUAAUCCUGGUCGGACAUCAGGAGGUUAGUGCAAUGGCAUAAGCUAGCUUGACUGCGAGCGUGACGGCGCGAGCAGGUGCGAAAGCAGGUCAUAGUGAUCCGGUGGUUCUGAAUGGAAGGGCCAUCGCUCAACGGAUAAAAGGUACUCCGGGGAUAACAGGCUGAUACCGCCCAAGAGUUCAUAUCGACGGCGGUGUUUGGCACCUCGAUGUCGGCUCAUCACAUCCUGGGGCUGAAGUAGGUCCCAAGGGUAUGGCUGUUCGCCAUUUAAAGUGGUACGCGAGCUGGGUUUAGAACGUCGUGAGACAGUUCGGUCCCUAUCUGCCGUGGGCGCUGGAGAAUUGAGGGGGGCUGCUCCUAGUACGAGAGGACCGGAGUGGACGCAUCACUGGUGUUCGGGUUGUCAUGCCAAUGGCACUGCCCGGUAGCUAAAUGCGGAAGAGAUAAGUGCUGAAAGCAUCUAAGCACGAAACUUGCCCCGAGAUGAGUUCUCCCUGAGACUUUAAGUCUCCUGAAGGAACGUUGAAGACGACGACGUUGAUAGGCCGGGUGUGUAAGCGCAGCGAUGCGUUGAGCUAACCGGUACUAAUGAACCGUGAGGCUUAACCUU